ACGGGACUGAACACAGAGAGCAAGAUGGAAGCUAAUGAAUCUGAAGCUGCAGCGGCCCACGGGGGCCAGGCCUGGAAGGGCCCUGGGAGACCAGCGUGAAGAUGAGGAGUUUCUCUAACUGGAAGACUCAAAACCAUCUGUGAAAUAAAACUAAGAUGGCCAGUGGGAAAGCAAUAAUUACGAAAGCAGGAACUAUUGCAAAGAAUCAACAACUGGGAUCUCAUCCUACUGAAAAACUUUUGCACAAGAGAAACCACCAACAGAGUGAAGAAACAACCACAACAUGAAACAAAAUGUUUGCCAGCUGUUCCUCAGACAAAGGAUUACUAUCAAGAACAUAUAAAGAACUAAAAAAAAUCAGAUCUCCCAAAUUUAAAGAUCCAAUUCAAAAGUGAGCAUUUGAGAUGAAUACAUACUUCUCAAUUGAAGAAAUACAAACAGGAAAUAAAUACAUGAAAAAAUAUUCAGCCUCAAUGGUCAUUCGAGAGAUGCAAAUUAAAACAACACUGAGAUUUCACUUCACCUCAGAAAGAAUGGCUAGUAUCAAGAAAUCAACCAAUAACAAAUGCUGGAGGGACUGUGGGGAAAAAGGAAUCCUUCUCAGCUGUUGUUGGGAAUGCAGGCUGGUGCAACCACUGUGGAAAUCAGUGUGGAGAUUCCUCAAAACACUAGGAUUGGAGGUCCCAUUUGAUACUUCUGAGUAUCUUCCCAAAAGAAUUUAAAACAUCAUACCACAGUAAUAUAUGUACACCCAUGUUUAUAGCAGCACAGUUUAUAAUAGCCAGAUCUUGGAAGCAACCUAAAUGCCCAUCCACUGAGGAAUAAAAAAGAUGUGGUAUUUUUAUAUAACAGAGUACUACUCAGCCUUAAAGAAUGAUUAACUGGACACUUUUUUUUUUUUUUUCAUUUUUAUCGGUACCAGGGAUUGAACUCACGACUGCCUGCUUGCAAGGCAGGUGCUUAUGCCGCUGAGCUAAAUCCCCAGCCCCUAAACUGGACACUUUAUAGGUAAAUGGAUGCACCUUGAGCACAUACUCAUUAGGGAAAUAAAUAAGACACAGUAAACAUUGUAUUGUUUCAUUAGUGUGACAAAAUCAAAGAAAAAUAUGUAUAUGUGUAUGUACAUGUACAUAAAAAUAGUUAAAAUAGUUAUACUACUUCUUUCUCUGAGUUCACUAAAGAGAAAGAUUUGUGCUGGUAUUGUUUGGACAUUUGAAGGCAGACGUCUUGUGCUCUGUGUGGAUGAUGUGGAGACGACAAUGUAUUUACCAUUGUUAUCCAACUGAUGUACUUUAAAAGUUUGUUAUAGUUUUUUUCUUCUUCUUCUUUUCUUUGCUUUGAUGUUUGAAUAAAAUAG
This is a long non-coding RNA of Cavia porcellus (domestic guinea pig), 1357 nucleotides long. RefSeq lists it as uncharacterized. NCBI's taxonomy places the organism in Eukaryota, Metazoa, Chordata, Mammalia, Rodentia, Caviidae. The record is from RefSeq and is a predicted model, not a curated record. The transcript is spliced from 3 exons.